Molecule: ribosomal RNA, 379 nt
Filed under: uncultured eukaryote
Lineage: Eukaryota
Description: partial 18S ribosomal RNA
Rfam family: Eukaryotic small subunit ribosomal RNA
Source: RNAcentral
CAAUAGCGUAUAUUUAAGUUGUUGCAGUUAAAAAGCUCGUAGUUGGAUUUCGGAUGGGAUUUGCCGGUCCGUCGUUACGAUGUGCACUGGCCAGUCCUAUCUUGUUGUCGGGGACUAGCUCCUUGGAUUCACUUCCUGGGACUAGGAGCUGACGAGGUUACUUUGAGUAAAUUAGAGUGUUCAAAGCAAGCCUACGCUCUGAAUACAUUAGCAUGGAAUAACACGAUAGGACUCUGGCUUAUCUUGUUGGUCUGUGAGACCAGAGUAAUGAUUAAGAGGGACAGUCGGGGACAUUCGUAUUUCAUUGUCAGAGGUGAAAUUCUUGGAUUUAUGAAAGACGAACUUCUGCGAAAGCAUUUGUCAAGGAUGUUUUCAUUNA